RNAcentral lists this ribosomal RNA (904 nucleotides) under bacterium enrichment culture clone NAP-24. RNAcentral describes it as "bacterial SSU rRNA". It matches the Rfam family "Bacterial small subunit ribosomal RNA", at positions 493 to 1398 of the family's 1533-position model. The record is from RNAcentral.
CCGGCUAACUCCGUGCCAGCAGCCGCGGUAAUACGGAGGGUGCGAGCGUUAAUCGGAAUUACUGGGCGUAAAGCGCGCGUAGGCGGCUUGAUAAGCCGGUUGUGAAAGCCCCGGGCUCAACCUGGGAACGGCAUCCGGAACUGUCAGGCUAGAGUGCAGGAGAGGAAGGUAGAAUUCCCGGUGUAGCGGUGAAAUACGUAGAGAUCGGGAGGAAUACCAGUGGCGAAGGCGGCCUUCUGGACUGACACUGACGCUGAGGUGCGAAAGCGUGGGUAGCAAACAGGAUUAGAUACCCUGGUAGUCCACGCCGUAAACGAUGUCGACUAGCCGUUGGGCUCCUUGAGAGCUUUGUGGCGCAGUUAACGCGAUAAGUCGACCGCCUGGGGAGUACGGCCGCAAGGUUAAAACUCAAAUGAAUUGACGGGGGCCCGCACAAGCGGUGGAGCAUGUGGUUUAAUUCGAAGCAACGCGAAGAACCUUACCAGGUCUUGACAUCCUUUGACCACUCUAGAGAUAGAGCUUUCCCUUCGGGGACAAAGUGACAGGUGGUGCAUGGUUGUCGUCAGCUCGUGUCGUGAGAUGUUGGGUUAAGUCCCGCAACGAGCGCAACCCUUAUUAUUAGUUGCCAGCAUUCAGUUGGGCACUCUAGUGAGACUGCCGGUGAUAAACCGGAGGAAGGUGGGGAUGACGUCAAAUCAUCAUGCCCCUUAUGACCUGGGCUACACACGUGCUACAAUGGAUGGUACAACGAGUCGCAAAACCGCGAGGUUAAGCUAAUCUCUUAAAGCCAUUCUCAGUUCGGAUUGUAGGCUGCAAUUCGCCUACAUGAAGCCGGAAUCGCUAGUAAUCGCGGAUCAGAAUGCCGCGGUGAAUACGUUCCCGGGCCUUGCACACACCGCCCGUA